RNAcentral lists this ribosomal RNA (1146 nucleotides) under Triticum aestivum (bread wheat). RNAcentral describes it as "partial small subunit ribosomal RNA". Lineage: Eukaryota; Viridiplantae; Streptophyta; Magnoliopsida; Poales; Poaceae. The record is from RNAcentral.
AUGAUAUAUGAGCUUGUGCAUUUCCUUAGCAAAUUUGUUGUGAUCUUUCUUGAUCGCAUAUUCAUACAUCAUGAUCAUAUUGCCUGCCAUCACUUGCAUGAUAACUCAUUCAUAUUGAGCAUCCAUUACCAUAUUCAUGUUACUGAUAAACUGUCUCACUAUGACAUCAUUUUGCACCGUGGUUGCAUUCAUCAUAUUCACAACACAUUUGUGUGCCUAAUGAAUGUUUUUGCUCCCAUGAAUGCUUUGCAUACCAUUCCAUAUCUUUUGGAUAAGCUUCAUGCACCUUGUCAUGCUCACUCUUGUCGCACGGACUCAUUAUUACAUGAUGGACACCUUGUGUGUGCUAACCAUUGUAUUUCCGAGUGUCGCUUGUGUUUGCUCUUUUUGCAUGUAUACCACUUCGGAGACACCUUGGAGUACUUGGAUUGCGGCAUGUCUUCAACUUCGUCCAACUUCAAGUCCGUCCACGACAACCGUUUCCAUGGUGAUGAGGAUCACGAUCCGAGGUCGGAUCUUUCCCAAGGGAGGGGAGAUGAUGCGGAGCAUCCUACGUUCAUCUCCAUGUACACAUUCAUAGCACAUCAAGCCCCAAGUGGACCUACUGGACUUAAGGUGAACCCGCCCCUCUUCAAGAUUUACAUGAAUAUCUAUGGGACUUGGUCGCUACCUCACCACGGAACGUUGUGCAUCAUUAGGUACGAGGGCGACCGCCGCCAAGCAGCUAAGGAGCUUCCCGGAGGCCAAGGAGAAGGACCCCAAGGCCACAAGGAAGAAGAAGGAGUGCACGAAGACCAACUCUGCACCUCCCAGGCGACCCCUUGCCCACGGGCCUCGAAGACCACGUGCGCAUGGGCUACACAGAGAGCUGGCGCUGGAGCACCCCGUGCACACGGGCUUGUACCGUGCCCACGGGACCCCUAUGCGCACAGGCCCAACAUACCCUGUGCGCAUGGGCCCUACAGGAUGGACAGUUGUGAUUGCUGUUUGGGCCUCCUCUUCAUCCACUUCGUCCCUCACCUCCAGCCACCUAUAUAUUCCGUACCUAGACCAUUUGUGAGGGUUAGCAAAGGAUAUGAUAGACAUAUGAGAGCUUUGCUCCAUGGAUCAACUCCACUAGGAGAUCAAGACCUCCUCUUGGAGUGA